Protopterus annectens (West African lungfish) is the source of this 138-nucleotide small nuclear RNA. RefSeq annotates it as U4 spliceosomal RNA. The transcript has a single exon. NCBI's taxonomy places the organism in Eukaryota, Metazoa, Chordata, Ceratodontiformes, Protopteridae. The record is from RefSeq and is a predicted model, not a curated record.
GGCUUUCUGCAGUGGCAGUAUUAUAGUCUAGGAAGUUCUACUGAGGUGUGAUUAUUACUAACUGAAAACUUUACCCAAUACCUCAUUAAGUCUGUCUUUUGACAGACUUGACAAUUUUUUUAAAGUCUCUCUGAAGAC